GUAGCAUGCAUCACUCUGGAAGCAUUUUGCUUAAAUAUUUAUCAAACCUCUUCCAGGCCAAGGGGAGGAGGGACAAGGCUGGGAUUGAGGACGGGCUGAGGGUAACAUUUAUCUUGCAGGGAGCAAAAGAGCUCAAGCGUGGCAAUGAGAUACUGAUCAUCCCCAGGUCUUUUUCGUUUUCCCAACAAGCAAUGCAAAAGUCACCUCACCCCCAGCUGCUCUGCUUGUAUUUCCCAUCCUUUCUGCAUCCCUGUGAUAAGCAGCUGCCACACACCCUCACCCCACCACCCCUUCCUCCCUCGGCGUGGGACCGACCCUUAUCUCUGCACCGCGUAAUUUGAUUUUCACGGCAGUGGGAGCAUUGGCAAUUACCACAAUAAAAGAGAUUUACAGCCGGGCCUGACACCGUGUCACCCUCCUGCUCAGCCCCCCAGCCUUACAGACACCUGGGGAGUACUCCUCCCGGCACGAUGCUUGCAGAGCUCCUGCAGCACUGGGCCUUGGAGUUCAGGAGUGCUCAGACCUCAGCAGAGAUGAGGAAACAGCAGAGAUCACCCGAAGGGGAACUCAGCCCUUUGCUGUGUGAUAACAUCUCGGCUGUGCUGUGCUGGAGCAGAGACACCAGAGGAGAAAAUAGGAUCCCUGGGAAGACAGCCUGGCUUAUCAGCACCGAGUGGCUUAAAUCAGCACUCAGCCGUGGCAACAAAGUGGGGAUGGAGCUCGUUGGGAGCUGGCUUAAUUGCUUAGUCACAAGGUAAUUUUGUCAGGUCAUUCAUUCCUGGUUGAUUUUGUUAGUUUGCUAAUCAGAUCUGGGCAGCCGUGUAGUGGUGCUGUUAGAUGGGAAGGGGGGGGGGGGUUGCACGGUUGCAUUGCUUUUCCCUGCCCGGCUACGGGAGAGCAAACAGCUCCGCACCAUCCGAGCGCUCCGGGCUGCAGGACCCGCCGUGCCCACAAGAGGCUGCUGGUGCUGUUUGCAAACGUCCCCGGUGCCAGCUGCUUUAAUCGAAGGAUAACAAUGAAACAACAUCGGAAGAACGAGGAAGAAGUCGCUUCCUGUCCAGAUGUGGGAGGCGCGGUGCGCUCUGCGAACGUGGGGGUGCUGCAGGGGUGAUCGUGGGGGGCGCACGGGAGGGGAAGUGCUUUAGGCAGGGAAAAGAGCUUCUGUACAGAGAAUGGAGCAACCGAGUGCAGGGCGAGCAGAGCCGGGCUGCUGCCUGGACCCCAAACGUCUGUGCUGUUCCAUUUUGCUCUGAUUUCUGCAGGGUUUUCAGGAGCUGGGACCUGCAUUUCCAUGGGGGUGGAGGGAGAGAAGAAAAUCCUUUUCCAACUCUGAGCAGCCCGAGUGGUUCUGCCGAAGCCAAACCCUCAUUCACAGCACCUGGAGGGCAGAGCCUUUGGCUGG
RNAcentral lists this long non-coding RNA (1402 nucleotides) under Gallus gallus (chicken). Its description in RNAcentral is "lncRNA (ENSGALG00010020841.1)". Lineage: Eukaryota; Metazoa; Chordata; Aves; Galliformes; Phasianidae. The record is from RNAcentral.